AUCGACUUGACCAACAAACCGCCGCAGGGGCAGGGCUACGCCGAUCCCCGGCCCGCCUCGCUUCACUCCGACCACCGCACACGAUGGACCCGAAGCCGGCCGUUGAGGCCGACGCCGACGACGACUACAUGGGGGACCUGUCCCUCUUCCUCCCGCCGAGCCCUUCCAGGAGUCUCGGGGUCCGGAAGCAUCCCCCGGUGCCGGCUGGGCAUGCGCGAGGGCAGGCCAAGCGCGCCAAGGGGCUGCCCUGGAAGGAGCGGCGGCGGCAGGACCGCGAGAGGAGUCAGCGGGAGGAGGAUGCGCGGACCUUGGCCGGGAUGGCGGAGGCCAUCCCCGAGAGCAACGUGGGGUUCAAGCUUUUGAAGCAGAUGGGUUACGACCCGGCCUCGCGUGGCGGCGACGCGGAGCCGGUGGGGAUCGAGAUCCGCCGCUCGCGAGCAGGGCUCGGGGCGGAGCCGCCUGUCUCUGCCGCGCCUCUGCCGCAGCCGUCGGAGCCGAAGACCCGGGAGGAGGUUGAGAAGGAGAGGAAGAGGGAGGAGGAGAUGGUGGAAGAGCUAAGGGCGAGGAAGAGCAUACAAUGGAAAGGGCGGAGGUUGGUGUGGGACUACCGCAAGGCCGACGCAGCGCUCGCGCAGCUGGAGAACCGGGAGGUGGCGCUACCGGCUCCAGAUGGCGAGGAGAAGGGAGAAGAAGAAGAGGAGGAGGUGAUCACCGAAGAGGGUCUGCAAAACAUACUGGAUAAGCUGCGAUAUGAACACCGCUAUUGCCUUUAUUGUGGAUGCAAGUAUGAAUCGGCAGAAGCGCUAGCAGAUGAAUGCCCUGGGCCUAAUGAAGAUGAUCAUUAAUUCACUUUCUCAAAUGUCCGUGGUGACAAAGAAUUGCCCUUCCUUUUACAGUUUAAAGCUUGAGACAUAUCUGAAAGCUUCAGGAAAUUUGCAUAUGGUGUGAAGUAUGAACUUCAUGCAAAAUACUGAAAGGAGCUCAAGAUAUGUCUGAUAUGUCCAGAACUUCAGCGGUGAAGAAAGAUGUGGAUUUCGGCUUUUAGAUCAACAGAUUUGGGUUUGUUCACCAAUCAUCGAUGUAACUGUUGAAGUUGGCAUCAUUUGAAGGCUGCGACUAUUAUCCCUGGUUCUAGCACUUACAUAAUACUACACGCCAAUGCUGGAUCUCUGUACAGUGCUAUGCUAGUCCUACAAGUGCCAAUCUUACAUGUGAACUUACGAUCUACCCAUGAUCAUUGAUUGUUGGUCACAGGCUAGUGACCUAGUGUGGCUACAGGAUUAGUCAGUAUGAGUUCAAAUAUUAUGUCGUGCUCUUACUCUGGCAAUUAUUUGUUCUCCUUU
Molecule: RNA transcript, 1343 nt
Organism: Lolium perenne
Lineage: Eukaryota; Viridiplantae; Streptophyta; Magnoliopsida; Poales; Poaceae
Source: RefSeq, a predicted model, not a curated record